GGUGGCUCAGUGGUGGAGUACUUGCCUUGCAUGCAUGAGGUCCUGGGUUCGAUUCCUCAGCACCA
Molecule: transfer RNA, 65 nt
Filed under: Dipodomys ordii (Ord's kangaroo rat)
Lineage: Eukaryota; Metazoa; Chordata; Mammalia; Rodentia; Heteromyidae
Rfam family: tRNA
About the family: Transfer RNA (tRNA) molecules are approximately 80 nucleotides in length. Their secondary structure includes four short double-helical elements and three loops (D, anti-codon, and T loops).
Source: Rfam by way of RNAcentral